CCUACGUGGGGCAGCAGUGAGGAAUAUUGGUCAAUGGGCGAGAGCCUGGACCAGCCAAGUCGCGUGAAGGAUGACGGCCCUACGGGUUGUAAACUUCUUUUGUCAGGGAGCAAUUGAGUCCACGUGUGGUCUUAGCGAGAGUACCUGAAGAAAAAGCAUCGGCUAACUCCGUGCCAGCAGCCGCGGUAAUACGGUGGAUGCGAGCGUUAUCCGGAUUUAUUGGGUUUAAAGGGGGCGUAGGCGGAAUAUCAAGUCAGCGGUAAAAAUUCGGGGCUCAACCUCGUCGUGCCGUUGAAACUGAUGUUCCUGAGUGGGCGAGAAGUAUGCGGAAUGCGUGGUGUAGCGGUGAAAUGCAUAGAUAUCACGCAGAACGCCGAUUGCGAAGGCAGCAUACCGGCGCCCAACUGACGCUGAAGCACGAAAGCGUGGGUAUCGAACAGGAUUAGAUACCCCAGUAGUC
RNAcentral lists this ribosomal RNA (460 nucleotides) under uncultured bacterium. RNAcentral describes it as "partial 16S ribosomal RNA". It matches the Rfam family "Bacterial small subunit ribosomal RNA", at positions 338 to 795 of the family's 1533-position model. The record is from RNAcentral.